CCUACGGGAGGCAGCAGUGAGGAAUAUUGGUCAAUGGACGCAAGUCUGAACCAGCCAAGUAGCGUGCAGGAUGACGGCCCUCCGGGUUGUAAACUGCUUUUAGUUGGGAAUAAAAGGGGGCUCGUGAGCCCCGUAUUGUAUGUACCAUCAGAAAAAGGACCGGCUAAUUCCGUGCCAGCAGCCGCGGUAAUACGGAAGGUCCGGGCGUUAUCCGGAUUUAUUGGGUUUAAAGGGAGCGUAGGCCGGCUUUUAAGUCAGCUGUGAAAGUCCGCGGCUCAACCACGGAACUGCAUUUGAAACUGUCGGUCUUGAGUAUCGGAGAGGCAGGCGGAAUUCCUAGUGUAGCGGUGAAAUGCGUAGAUAUUAGGAGGAACACCGAUUGCGAAGGCAGCUUACCAAGCUACUUCUGACGUUGAGGCACGAAAGCGUGGGGAGCAAACAGGAUUAGAUACCCUAGUAGUC
Molecule: ribosomal RNA, 462 nt
Filed under: uncultured bacterium
Lineage: Bacteria
Description: partial 16S ribosomal RNA
Rfam family: Bacterial small subunit ribosomal RNA
Source: RNAcentral